Molecule: ribosomal RNA, 245 nt
Filed under: uncultured bacterium
Lineage: Bacteria
Description: partial 16S ribosomal RNA
Rfam family: Bacterial small subunit ribosomal RNA
Source: RNAcentral
UACGUAGGGAGCGAGCGUUAUCCGGAUUUAUUGGGCGUAAAGGGUGCGUAGACGGCACAGAAAGUCCUUUGUUAAAAUGCUUGGCUCAACCAAGUAGUGCAAAGGAGACUUCUGAGCUCGAGUGUGAUAGAGGUAAGUGGAACUCCAUGUGUAGCGGUAAAAUGCGUAAAUAUAUGGAAGAACACCAGUGGCGAAAGCGGCUUACUAGAUCAACACUGACGUUGAGGCACGAAAGCGUGGGGAGC